Molecule: ribosomal RNA, 119 nt
Filed under: Pteropus alecto (black flying fox)
Lineage: Eukaryota; Metazoa; Chordata; Mammalia; Chiroptera; Pteropodidae
Source: RNAcentral
GUCUACGGCCAUGCUAUCCUGAACAAGCUCAAUCCCAUCUGAUUUCAGAAGCUAAGCAGGGUCGGGCCUGGUUAGUACUUGGAUAGGAGACCACCUAGGAAGACCAGGUGCUGUAGGUG